This 57-nucleotide non-coding RNA is filed under the name unclassified sequences. RNAcentral describes it as "Li+-I sequence". It matches the Rfam family "nhaA-I RNA". Rfam says of the family: Acidobacteria, Alphaproteobacteria, Betaproteobacteria and Gammaproteobacteria, Verrucomicrobia, cand. division NC10. The record is from Rfam by way of RNAcentral.
GGGUGUUCGCUGCGAUAUGAGCGGGCAGGUUCACAUGUGUUGGUCGGGCCGCCAGCA